GGACUACCCGGGUAUCUAAUCCUGUUUGAUCCCCACGCUUUCGUGCCUCAGUGUCAGUUGUAGUUUUGUAAGCUGCCUUCGCAAUGGGUGUUCUGUGUCAUAUCUAAGCAUUUCACCGCUACAUGACACAUUCCACUUACAUCAAAUACACUCAAGAACAACAGUAUCAAUGGCAGGUCUGCAGUUAAGCUGCAGGUUUUCACCACUGACUUGUCGUUCCACCUACGCACCCUUUAAACCCAGUAAAUCCGGAUAACGCUCGGAUCCUCCGUAUUACCGCGGCUGCUGGCAC
Molecule: ribosomal RNA, 292 nt
Filed under: uncultured Bacteroidota bacterium
Lineage: Bacteria; Pseudomonadati; Bacteroidota
Description: uncultured Bacteroidetes bacterium partial 16S ribosomal RNA
Source: RNAcentral